RNAcentral lists this ribosomal RNA (253 nucleotides) under uncultured bacterium. RNAcentral's name for it is "partial 16S ribosomal RNA". It matches the Rfam family "Bacterial small subunit ribosomal RNA", at positions 524 to 776 of the family's 1533-position model. The record is from RNAcentral.
UACAUGUGGGGCAAGCGUUGUUCGGAAUUACUGGGCAUAAAGGGUGCGUAGGUGGCUUGUUAAGUCAGGGGUGAAAUCCCACGGCCCAACCGUGGAACUGCCUUUGAUACUGGCGAGCUCGAGUGCGUGAGGGGUGAUCGGAACGAGUAGUGUAGCGGUGAAAUGCGUAGAUAUUACUCGGAAGGCCAACGGCGAAGGCAGAUCACUGGUACGCAACUAACACUGAGGCACGAAAGCGUGGGGAGCAAACAGG